Molecule: ribosomal RNA, 780 nt
Filed under: uncultured bacterium
Lineage: Bacteria
Description: bacterial SSU rRNA
Rfam family: Bacterial small subunit ribosomal RNA
Source: RNAcentral
GAUGAACGCUGGCGGCGUGCUUAACACAUGCAAGUCGAACGGGAAAUAUUUCAUUGAGACUUCGGUGGAUUUGAUCUAUUUCUAGUGGCGGACGGGUGAGUAACGCGUGGGUAACCUGCCUUAUACGGGGGGAUAACAGUCAGAAAUGGCUGCUAAUACCGCAUAAAGCGCACAGAGCUGCAUGGCUCAGUGUGAAAAACUCCGGUGGUAUAAGAUGGACCCGCGUUGGAUUAGCUAGUUGGUGGGGUAACGGCCCACCAAGGCGACGAUCCAUAGCCGGCCUGAGAGGGUGAACGGCCACAUUGGGACUGAGACACGGCCCAGACUCCUACGGGAGGCAGCAGUGGGGAAUAUUGCACAAUGGGGGAAACCCUGAUGCAGCGACGCCGCGUGAAGGAAGAAGUAUCUCGGUAUGUAAACUUCUAUCAGCAGGGAAGAUAGUGACGGUACCUGACUAAGAAGCCCCGGCUAACUACGUGCCAGCAGCCGCGGUGAUACGUAGGGGGCAAGCGUUAUCCGGAUUUACUGGGUGUAAAGGGAGCGUAGACGGUGUGGCAAGUCUGAUGUGAAAGGCAUGGGCUCAACCUGUGGACUGCAUUGGAAACUGUCAUACUUGAGUGCCGGAGGGGUAAGCGGAAUUCCUAGUGUAGCGGUGAAAUGCGUAGAUAUUAGGAGGAACACCAGUGGCGAAGGCGGCUUACUGGACGGUAACUGACGUUGAGGCUCGAAAGCGUGGGGAGCAAACAGGAUUCGAUACCCUGGUAGUCCACGCCGUAAACG